AUUGAACGCUGGCGGCAGGCUUAACACAUGCAAGUCGAGCGGAGAUGAGGUGCUUGCACCUUAUCUUAGCGGCGGACGGGUGAGUAAUGCUUAGGAAUCUGCCUAUUAGUGGGGGACAACAUUCCGAAAGGAAUGCUAAUACCGCAUACGUCCUACGGGAGAAAGCAGGGGAUCUUCGGACCUUGCGCUAAUAGAUGAGCCUAAGUCGGAUUAGCUAGUUGGUGGGGUAAAGGCCUACCAAGGCGACGAUCUGUAGCGGGUCUGAGAGGAUGAUCCGCCACACUGGGACUGAGACACGGCCCAGACUCCUACGGAGGCAGCAGUGGGGAAUAUUGGACAAUGGGGGGAACCCUGAUCCAGCCAUGCCGCGUGUGUGAAGAAGGCCUUAUGGUUGUAAAGCACUUUAAGCGAGGAGGAGGCUCUUUUGGUUAAUACCCAAGAUGAGUGGACGUUACUCGCAGAAUAAGCACCGGCUAACUCUGUGCCAGCAGCCGCGGUAA
Molecule: ribosomal RNA, 500 nt
Filed under: uncultured bacterium
Lineage: Bacteria
Description: partial 16S ribosomal RNA
Rfam family: Bacterial small subunit ribosomal RNA
Source: RNAcentral